Molecule: ribosomal RNA, 756 nt
Filed under: uncultured archaeon
Lineage: Archaea
Description: bacterial SSU rRNA
Rfam family: Archaeal small subunit ribosomal RNA
Source: RNAcentral
UUCCGGUUGAUCCCGCCGGAGGCCACUGCUAUCGGGGUCCGACUAAGCCAUGCGAGUCAAGGGGGUGUCCCUCUGGGACACCACCGGCGGACGGCUCAGUAACACGUCGGUAACCUACCCUCGGGAGGGGGAUAACCCCGGGAAACUGGGGCUAAUCCCCCAUAGGCCUGAGGUACUGGAAGGUCCUCAGGCCGAAAGGGGCUUUUGCCCGCCCGAGGAUGGGCCGGCGGCCGAUUAGGUAGUUGGUGGGGUAACGGCCCACCAAGCCGAAGAUCGGUACGGGCUGUGAGAGCAGGAGCCCGGAGAUGGACACUGAGACACGGGUCCAGGCCCUACGGGGCGCAGCAGGCGCGAAACCUCCGCAAUGCGGGAAACCGCGACGGGGGGACCCCGAGUGCCGUGGCACCGCCACGGCUUUUCCGGAGUGUAAAAAGCUCCGGGAAUAAGGGCUGGGCAAGGCCGGUGGCAGCCGCCGCGGUAAUACCGGCGGCCCGAGUGGUGGCCGCUAUUAUUGGGCCUAAAGCGUCCGUAGCCGGGCCCGUAAGUCCCUGGCGAAAUCCCACGGCUCAACCGUGGGGCUUGCUGGGGAUACUGCGGGCCUUGGGACCGGGAGAGGCGGGGGGUACCCCUGGGGUAGGGGUGAAAUCCUAUAAUCCCAGGGGGACCGCCAGUGGCGAAGGCGCCCCGCUGGAACGGGUCCGACGGUGAAGGACCAAGGCCAGGGGAGCAAACCGGAUUAGAUACCCGGGCAGUCCU